AUUAGUUUCAGGUGCACAACAUAGGGGUUUGAUAUUUUUAUAGAUUGUUCUUCAUACAGUCCACCAUUCAUGCUUUAAGGCUUUCUUGUUCACUAUUCCCCCAUCCCCACUCCAGGUCUAGCACUAUGUCUAGUGUAGAUCAAUUAUCAACCAUUCAAUGCUUGGCAACUGACAUCACGAAUGGAUAUAAUUUAAAUGUUUACACACAGCCCUGAAAUAAAUACCAUAAUUUAUGAGCUGUAUGAAUAUAUAAAGUAAAAUAGCUGUUUCCACAUAAGAAUCACUUUAGCACGUCAAGCAUUGUGCUAAAGAGUAUUUUUAUGUAUAUUAUAUUAAUUUCAAAACAAAAUGAUUAACAGAAAGUAUGAUCCUCUGCAUUUUACAUAUAAGAAACAAGAGGUUCAGGUAGAUGAAAUUACUCGCCUAAGACACAGCCAAUAAGUGGGAACACUUUCUUGUCUAACUUAUACACCCUGUAACCACGGCUUUAUGUUGGCUGCUGGGUUUCAAAGGUUUUGAAAGCUUGUUCUAGUGCAAUGUACUACAAACUUAAAUUGAACACAGAAAAAAAAAAAUAAAAAAUCCCACCAAGUAAUUAGCUCUUGAAAUAUAAGAAUCAGGUUGUCCCUGCAUAUGCAGUGAAUCAACUGUUCUUAGAAGUAACCAAUGAUCCAAAUGAGCAAUGCAGUCUUUCAACACUGAGAAAGGUUUGAAGGGUUCAGCCCUUUGAAUUAUGUUGCUGUGAAAUUAACCAAGGUGAAAUAUUCAUCCAGAACUUUGGAUCCGAAUAGACAUUGACACAAUUCUAUCCCAUAUGGGUACACAUAGGUCCAAAAGAAAAUCACACAGUGUUGGAAAUAGAGAAUCUGUAUAGUAUUACUCUGCUGCGAUUGCUGCUACCAUUAUGAAUGAUAAUAAUUAUUAUUUGUUAUCAUUAUUCUAGUUCAGAUUUAUGGAGAGAUUGCUUUACACCAAGCUUCAUGAUACAUGCUUUACAGACUCACUCCCUGAGGUGGGUGAAAUUAGAACCCCCAUUUUCCACUUGAAAAAUCUGAAGUUAAAGGAGGUAAGUAGCAUGUCUAUAGCCAAAGAGCUAGUAGUAGUGGGACGAGAAACAAAGGCAGGUCUAUCUAAGGCCCAAGCUGUAAUCUUAUCCAAUACCACAUUCUGUUUCAUUGAUUUCUACACAAUUAUUAUGCCUACAGCCCUAUAAUUUUAAUUUUGUAAAAACUUUACAUAUAUCAUACCCUGAUCCUACUACCAACAGUAAGUAUACACCUACGGGGUCAUCAUUUUGCUAAUGGAAGAUGAACAAAUAUUAAAAUAUAAAGGUAUGCCCCCAAAUGUCAUGGGUUUCCUUUUCUCAAAUUAGGAAUAUCAAGGUUUUCCUUCUUUUUAAAAAGUAUUUUACAACAAAUGCUGGAGAGGGUGUGGAGAAAAGGGAACCCUCCUACACUGUUGGUAGGAAUGUAAAUUGGUACAACCACUAUGGAAAACAGUAUGGAGGUACCUCAGAAAACUAAAUAUAGAACUACCAUAUGAUCCAUCAAUCCCAAUCCUAGGCAUAUAUCCAGACAAAAUAUUCAAAUAUUCAUUCAAAAUGAUACAUGCACCCCUAUGUUCAUUGCAGCACUAUGCACAAUAGCCAAGACAUGGAAACAACCUAAAUGUCCAUCAGUGGAUGAAUGGAUUAAGAAGAGGUGGUACAUAUAUACAAUGGAAUACUAUUCAGCCAUAAAAAGGACACAAUAAUGCCAUUUGCAGUAAUAUGGAUGCAACUAGAGAUUAUCAUACUAAGUGAAGUAAGUCAGAAAGAGAAAGACAAAUACCAUAUGAUAUCACUUUAUGUGGAAUACAAAAUACAGCAAAAAUGAUCCCAUCUAUAAAACAGACAGAUCAAGGCCAUGGAGAGUAGACUUGUGGUUGCCAGGGGGAGGGGAAAGGAGUGGGAUGGACGGAGAGUUUGGGGUUGGUGAAUAUAAACUGUUACACUUGGAAUGGAUGGGCAAUGAAGUCCUACUGUACAGCACAGGUAACUGUGUAUGACUGGGUCACUUUGCUAUAUAACAGAAAUUGAAGAAACACUGUAAGUCAACUAUACUUUAAAAAUAAAGUAUAUUACAAGGAUAAGGAGCUUGCUAUGAAGAUAUGUGGUAGUGUUCACUAAUAAUGAGCUCAUCCUAGACUAACUCAGCAUCCUAGACUAACUUAGUAUUGGAUGUGUCUUUAGAGAACUUCUGGUAUGUUUUCUAGAGUUAUUCUUUUAAAUAAACUCUGAAUAAAAUAGAAUAUUUUUCUGGCAGCAUUUUGAACCUUCAGCUACUGGCUCUGGAAGAAAUCUGAAAAUACAAGGGAUUUCCAUUCAUGGAAAAUGAGAUGAAGGAUAAAGCUAAGUGACCUUUUGAGAACACUUUAAAAUUAUAUUCUGUUUAUUGAGUUCAUGUCUUGGUCCAAGGUUCAGAAUGAUAUUCAUUUUGUAUGAAUAGGUUUUUUUUUUUUUCUCAAAUCACUGCAAAGAAAAAUUUUAGUAUAUGAAAAUACUGUGCAAAAGGAAAAGAUUCAUUUGGAUGUUUAGGGACCAACGUGCAUUUAGAAACUCGAAGGCACAAUUCUCCCCUUGGAUAGCUAUAAGAAUUGGGUACAUUAUUUAAAUUCUCUGCACCCCAGUUUCCUUAUCAUAAAUAUAGUGCUGGAUCUAGCUUGUCUCACAAUUACUGUGGAAUUAGAAAUCUAUGAUUCUUUCAAUCUGCCUUAGAUUGAACAUUUACCUGUGCAUUUACACCGCAAACGAUCACAUAAGAGUUGCAGAAAGCCUCUCUAUAAAUUCCUAGGAAAUAAUUUGACAAUGUGACCAAAUUAUAAAUAGCUCCAGUUGUCUAACACAUACAAGAAGGUAAAAAGAUUUUUCAACCUGGUACAGAAGUGAUGAUUAUCUCAGCCUUUUUAGGUUUUUCUCAUUGUCCUGAAACAUAGGUAUCAAGGAAAUAGGAAGUAGAAAUUCUGCGUAUUUACUCCUGACGCCGAUAACAUCUACAUUUGACAUUCUAGAAUAACAACAUCUCCAGCAGCAACUAAGAUAUGCAUGUUUCAGAGCUGAGAAACUUUUAAAAUCCCCUUUUAAGCAAUGUGGCCACGGAAGACUCUUAAUAAUUGAUUAUAAUUGAUUUUAACCUUGUCCUAACCUGGGCAAAAUGGCAAAGCCAAUCAUCUUUGUCCAGAUGGGGUAUGAGAAAAGAGCCCCAAGUCCACGUCUUUAAAAGCUCCAGACAUGAGCAGAAGAUAAAAUAUUUAGUCUGCCAAAGCCUUGACCUCCCAAUUCCAGCCAGUUUUGAACUUGAAUUGAUUUCCGACAAGGCAUCUGGGAGAUGAUUACAACAAAAUGCACUAAAGCUGGGCAGCCUUUAUUUUAACAUCCCAGCAGCUUAACCUGUUAAUAACAGCAAUUGUUUUAGAUACAAUACCAAUUUCUGUAACCGACGCAAGAAAUGGAUAACAGCAGCCGUCGCUGUCUCCCAGGCAGUGCAAU
This 3526-nucleotide long non-coding RNA is filed under the name Sus scrofa (pig). Its description in RNAcentral is "lncRNA (ENSSSCG00000056972.1, ENSSSCG00105007875.1)". The record is from RNAcentral. Lineage: Eukaryota; Metazoa; Chordata; Mammalia; Artiodactyla; Suidae.